GAUGAACGCUGGCGGCGUGCCUAAUACAUGCAAGUCGAGCGAACGGACGAGAAGCUUGCUUCUCUGAUGUUAGCGGCGGACGGGUGAGUAACACGUGGAUAACCUACCUAUAAGACUGGGAUAACUUCGGGAAACCGUAGCUAAUACCGGAUAAUAUUUUGAACCGCAUGGUUCAAAAGUGAAAGACGGUCUUGCUGUCACUUAUAGAUGGAUCCGCGCUGCAUUAGCUAGUUGGUAAGGUAACGGCUUACCAAGGCAACGAUGCAUAGCCGACCUGAGAGGGUGAUCGGCCACACUGGAACUGAGACACGGUCCAGACGCCUACGGGAGGCAGCAGUAGGGAAUCUUCCGCAAAGGGCGAAAGCCUGACGGAGCAACGCCGCGUGAGUGAUGAAGGUCUUCGGAUCGUAAAACUCUGUUAUUAGGGAAGAACAUAUGUGUAAGUAACUGUGCACAUCUUGACGGUACCUAAUCAGAAAGCCACGGCUAACUACGUG
RNAcentral lists this ribosomal RNA (497 nucleotides) under uncultured bacterium. RNAcentral's name for it is "partial 16S ribosomal RNA". It matches the Rfam family "Bacterial small subunit ribosomal RNA", at positions 28 to 507 of the family's 1533-position model. The record is from RNAcentral.